Xenia sp. Carnegie-2017 is the source of this 174-nucleotide long non-coding RNA. RefSeq lists it as uncharacterized. NCBI's taxonomy places the organism in Eukaryota, Metazoa, Cnidaria, Anthozoa, Malacalcyonacea, Xeniidae. The transcript is spliced from 2 exons. The record is from RefSeq and is a predicted model, not a curated record.
AACAACAACAGUCCUUUUCAGGACAAUAAUAACCUGGACGAUCUACAUCGACAAACAUAUAAUAACAUGGCCUGUCGGUGUGUGAGGAAUAACAUGCCCAUGUCCUCUGCUUUGAUAUUGAAUAGCUCAUGCAUGUGCAAAUAAAAAUAAAUUUAACACAUACAAGUUUGAAAC